Small nucleolar RNA from Phoenix dactylifera (date palm), 123 nucleotides. The record is from RefSeq and is a predicted model, not a curated record. Lineage: Eukaryota; Viridiplantae; Streptophyta; Magnoliopsida; Arecales; Arecaceae.
GAACAAAGUCACCCGACUGAAGUGGUGUACACUUUGGAUGAAGGUUGGCAAUAAUAAUUUGCAAUUCUCCGUGCCUCUCAAUUUCUAUGUUUAUGAAGAUGGCCUCGAACAAGAUGCUACAUU